AUUGAACGCUGGCGGCAGGCCUAACACAUGCAAGUCGAGCGGAUGAAUCGGGCUUGCUCCUGGAUUCAGCGGCGGACGGGUGAGUAAUGCCUAGGAAUCUGCCUUGUAGUGGGGGAUAACGUCCUAAUACGGGCGCUACUACCGCAUGCGUCCUUUGGUCGAAAUUGGGGGGUCUUCGGACCUCACGCUAUCAUGUUAGCCUGGGUAGGAUUACCUAGUUGGUGUGGUAAAGGACUACCAAGGCGACGAUCCGUAACUUGUCUGAGAGGCUGAUCAGUCACACUGGAAGUGAGAAAGGGUACAGACUCUUACGGGAGGAAGCAGUGGGGAAUAUUGGGCGAUGGGCGAAAGGCUGAUCCAGCCAUGCCGGGUGUGUGAAGAAGGUCUUCGGAUUGUAAAGCAAUUUAAGUUGGGGGAAAGGGAAGUAAGUUAACACCUUGCUGUUUUGACGUUACCAAGAGAAGAAGCCCCGGCUAACUUCGUG
RNAcentral lists this ribosomal RNA (484 nucleotides) under uncultured bacterium. RNAcentral describes it as "partial 16S ribosomal RNA". It matches the Rfam family "Bacterial small subunit ribosomal RNA", at positions 30 to 507 of the family's 1533-position model. The record is from RNAcentral.